AACUAAGUAGCUUAUACUAGAGCAAUGGACUGAAGAUCCACAGGAGCUAAACAGCCAUAGUUA
RNAcentral lists this transfer RNA (63 nucleotides) under Hemiarthrum setulosum. Its description in RNAcentral is "tRNA-Phe". It matches the Rfam family "tRNA". Rfam says of the family: Transfer RNA (tRNA) molecules are approximately 80 nucleotides in length. Their secondary structure includes four short double-helical elements and three loops (D, anti-codon, and T loops). Further hydrogen bonds mediate the characteristic L-shaped molecular structure. tRNAs have two regions of fundamental functional importance: the anti-codon, which is responsible for specific mRNA codon recognition, and the 3' end, to which the tRNAs corresponding amino acid is attached (by aminoacyl-tRNA synthetases). tRNAs cope with the degeneracy of the genetic code in two manners: having more than one tRNA (with a specific anti-codon) for a particular amino acid; and 'wobble' base-pairing, i.e. permitting non-standard base-pairing at the 3rd anti-codon position. Lineage: Eukaryota; Metazoa; Mollusca; Polyplacophora; Chitonida; Hemiarthridae. The record is from RNAcentral.